AUUGAACGCUGGCGGCAUGCCUUACACAUGCGAGUCGAACGGCAGCACGGGUGCUUGCACCUGGUGGCGAGUGGCGAACGGGUGAGUAAUACAUCGGAACAUGUCCUGUAGUGGGGGAUAGCCCGGCGAAAGCCGGAUUAAUACCGCAUACGAUCUACGGAUGAAAGCGGGGGACCUUCGGGCCUCGCGCUAUAGGGUUGGCCGAUAGCUGAUUAGCUAGUUGGUGGGGUAAAGGCCUACCAAGGCGACGAUCAGUAGCUGGUCUGAGAGGACGACCAGCCACACUGGGACUGAGACACGGCCCAGACUCCUACGGGAGGCAGCAGUGGGGAAUUUUGGACAAUGGGCGAAAGCCUGAUCCAGCAAUGCCGCGUGUGUGAAGAAGGCCUUCGGGUUGUAAAGCACUUUUGUCCGGAAAGAAAUCCUUGGCUCUAAUACAGUCGCGGGAUGACGGUACCGGAAGAAUAAGCACCGGCUAACUACGUG
Molecule: ribosomal RNA, 486 nt
Filed under: uncultured bacterium
Lineage: Bacteria
Description: partial 16S ribosomal RNA
Rfam family: Bacterial small subunit ribosomal RNA
Source: RNAcentral